This 168-nucleotide microRNA precursor is filed under the name Triticum aestivum (bread wheat). RNAcentral describes it as "MIR2118 microRNA precursor family". It matches the Rfam family "MIR2118 microRNA precursor family". Lineage: Eukaryota; Viridiplantae; Streptophyta; Magnoliopsida; Poales; Poaceae. The record is from Rfam by way of RNAcentral.
AAGUGGAAGAGGAAGAAAAUGAGCAUUUAAGAGCAUUGGACAUGGGGACAUGGAGGAAGGCCUAAACUAGUGUGUCUCUCUACAACUAGGGUCCAACUUUUUUUCAGAAUUUUCUCGAUGCCUCCCAUGCCUAUUAUUCGUAGGUGCUCCUUCCUCUCCCUUUUGAUC